Molecule: long non-coding RNA, 722 nt
Organism: Alnus glutinosa
Lineage: Eukaryota; Viridiplantae; Streptophyta; Magnoliopsida; Fagales; Betulaceae
Exons: 4
Source: RefSeq, a predicted model, not a curated record
CAAAGAGGCAAUGCCUCUUCGUUUCUAUUUUUGGAACAGCAGGGGCUCCUUUUCAAUUUUUUCUCUUUUGGAUUUUCAUAGAAAAUUUACGAUCUGUAAAGAUCCAACGGUCCAAUCUUAGAUCCGAUUUCGGCAACGCAAUCUUUGAAGCCCGAUCUACAUUUUGACCGAACGUUUUGAGAUUUUGUGUGGUUUGGAGUUGCUAGGAGCUUCCCGAGCAUCGGGUCUUGGUGUGGUGAAUUUUUGCGGCACGUUACGGUUGAGCUUAGAGUCGUUUGGAUAUUGGGAGUACAAGCAAUCUGAGAUGAUAUUCCUGUGGUUGCAGGUACUCUUGAGGCGGAUGAUGAUCCGGUAGCUCACUACUUGGGAUACUACGAUUGAAGCCCGUAACGACAGUCGUAGUGGGAUAGGACUGAGGUGUCCUCAUUUUGGGUACUUUUGUAUAUGGCUUGUGACGUGUGUGUCACACAUUAUUUUGUAUAAGCCAUUCUUUUAUAUUUGUAAAAUGUAGUUAAACUUUAAACAGAUAGAUUUGUGUUAUGGCUCACUUAUGUAUAGAUAACAGGUUCAUUUAUAAUUAUGCUUUUCCGUUAUGUGUAUUGGUAUCAUGAUUUAUUCCGCUGUAGAUGUAACUCUGUAUAUCAGGUACAUGUUAUGGGACAUGUGUCUAUGUUGGCUAAGCGACACUUAGUCGUGCCACUACGAUGACUCGUUUAUGUUUG